RNAcentral lists this ribosomal RNA (468 nucleotides) under uncultured bacterium. RNAcentral's name for it is "partial 16S ribosomal RNA". It matches the Rfam family "Bacterial small subunit ribosomal RNA", at positions 28 to 507 of the family's 1533-position model. The record is from RNAcentral.
GACGAACGCUGGCGGCGUGCUUAACACAUGCAAGUCGAACGGAAAGGCCCUGCUUUUGUGGGGUGCUCGAGUGGCGAACGGGUGAGUAACACGUGAGUAACCUGCCCUUGACUUUGGGAUAACUUCAGGAAACUGGGGCUAAUACCGGAUAGGAGCUCCUGCUGCAUGGGGGGGGUUGGAAAGUUUCGGCGGUUGGGGAUGGACUCGCGGCUUAUCAGCUUGUUGGUGGGGUAGUGGCUUACCAAGGCUUUGACGGGUAGCCGGCCUGAGAGGGUGACCGGCGACAUUGGGACUGAGAUACGGCCCAGACGCCUACGGGAGGCAGCAGGGGGGAAUAUUGCACAAUGGGCGGAAGCCUGAUGCAGAAGCGCCGCGUGCGGGAUGACGGGCUUCGGGUUGUAAACCGCUUUCGCCUGUGACGAAGCGGGAGUGACGGUAAUGGGUAAAGAAGCACCGGCUAACUACGUG